GAUGAACGCUGGCGGCGUGCUUAACACAUGCAAGUCGAACGGAAAGGCCAGUGCUUGCACUGGUGCUCGAGCGGCGAACGGGUGAGUAACACGUGGGUGAUCUGCCCUGCACUUUGGGAUAAGCCUGGGAAACUGGGUCUAAUACCAGAUAGGACCAUGCUUUGGAUGGUGUGGUGGAAAGUUUUUUCGGUGUGGGAUGAGCUUGCGGCCUAUCAGCUUGUUGGUGGGGUAAUGGCCUACCAAGGCGUCGACGGGUAGCCGGCCUGAGAGGGUGUACGGCCACAUUGGGACUGAGAUACGGCCCAGACUCCUACGGGAGGCAGCAGUGGGGAAUAUUGCACAAUGGGCGCAAGCCUGAUGCAGCGACGCCGCGUGGGGGAUGACGGCCUUCGGGUUGUAAACUCCUUUCGCAACUGACGAAGCUUUUUGUGACGGUAGGUUGAGAAGAAGCACCGGCUAACUACGUG
This 467-nucleotide ribosomal RNA is filed under the name uncultured bacterium. Its description in RNAcentral is "partial 16S ribosomal RNA". It matches the Rfam family "Bacterial small subunit ribosomal RNA", at positions 28 to 507 of the family's 1533-position model. The record is from RNAcentral.